Molecule: ribosomal RNA, 399 nt
Filed under: Granofilosea sp.
Lineage: Eukaryota; Cercozoa
Description: partial small subunit ribosomal RNA
Rfam family: Eukaryotic small subunit ribosomal RNA
Source: RNAcentral
AUUCCAGCUCCAAUAGCGUAUAUUAAUGUUGCUGCAGUUAAAAAGCUCGUAGUUGGAUUUCUGGUAUGAUGCGCCUGGUCCGCCCCGUUUAGGUGUGUGAGUACCGGUGCGCGUCUGCCAUCCUUCUAGAGAGCGUGUCUACCCUUCACUGUGCCGGGCACGUCAUCUGGAUCGUUUACUUUGAAAAAAUUAGAGUGUUUCAAGCAGGCAUACUCGCUUUGAAUACAUUAGCAUGGAAUAAUAAGAUAGGACUUGGGUUCUAUUUUGUUGGUUUCUAGGACCGAAGUAAUGAUUGAUAGGGACAGUUGGGGGUGCUAGUAUUCCACGGCCAGAGGUGAAAUUCUUGGAUUCGUGGAAGACUAACUAAUGCGAAAGCAUUCACCAAGGAUGUCUUCAUCA